Molecule: ribosomal RNA, 327 nt
Filed under: uncultured eukaryote
Lineage: Eukaryota
Description: partial 18S ribosomal RNA
Rfam family: Eukaryotic small subunit ribosomal RNA
Source: RNAcentral
CCCUUAGAUGUUCUGGGCCGCACGCGCGCUACACUGACGAAUGCAACGAGCUUAUAACCUUGGCCGAAAGGUCUGGGUAAUCUCCAAAUUUCGUCGUGCUGGGGAUAGAUUAUUGCAAUUAUUAAUCUUCAACGAGGAAUGCCUAGUAAGCGCAAGUCAUCAGCUUGCGUUGAUUACGUCCCUGCCCUUUGUACACACCGCCCGUCGCUCCUACCGAUUGAAUGGUCCGGUGAAGCGUUCGGACCGUGGCCUUUGGACGGUUCGCCGUCUGUUGGCUGCGGGAAGUUCGUUAAACCUUAUCAUUUAGAGGAAGGAGAAGUCGUAACA